GUCAGUAUAUUGGUCCAGGCAAUAGUUGCAGGAUUGAUUUACGCGAGAUUUAUCAAGUAAAAAGUUAAGAGCUUUUAGCGGCUUUGUCGCUGGUUCAAAUCCAGCCGCUGCCACCA
RNAcentral lists this transfer RNA (116 nucleotides) under Chloroflexota bacterium. RNAcentral describes it as "Chloroflexi bacterium (marine metagenome) tRNA-OTHER". Lineage: Bacteria; Bacillati; Chloroflexota. The record is from RNAcentral. RNAcentral also lists the same sequence under 1 other name.